UCAUCACGUAAGAAAAGAUUCAGACACUACUUGUUUUUUCUUCCUAAACUGGGGGCAGAAGGAAAACAAAUGGAAAAAGCACAAAAAGUGACACAUCAGUAAGGUCAACCAAGAUACUCCAGAUGUGUGUAAAACUUUCUCCUCUCAAUCAGCCAGUGUGGGCUCCCUUCCCUAGCUGCACAAAACAGGGUUAACAGUUCUACCAGUCAUCCCACUUAUCAUCAGCUGAAGAUGCCUUUUUCGUUGCCUUAGGAGGUUUUUUGGCCUUGCUCUCCCCUCCUGUGUUUUCCCAGUUGGUCUCCCAGUUUUCCCAACUGUCGCUGUUACUGUUCUUGUUGUUGGAGACUGUUCCUGAGCCCCACACGUCCCAGCUAUCAGAGCUCUUCUUCUCUGUGGAAUUGUCCACAUAGGUCCAGCUCUCACUGCUUGGAGAUUUAUGAGCUUUCGGUGGGUCUGAGUUGCCAAAGGUCUCCCAGAAGCUUUGAUCUACAGCAUUGUUCUGGUAGCCUUCCCCUCCACUGUUCUGGUAGCUGUCUCCCUCGGCUGGUCUUUCAGAAUGAUCAUCUGGUUUCCCAGAAAAGAAAGUGGUGACAUCUCGCCAUCCCUUACUCCCAACUCCCUGAACCUUGCUGGCCAACUGCGAUACCCCCACGGUGACCUCCUCAAAAAUUUUCCCCUCUU
Molecule: long non-coding RNA, 681 nt
Filed under: Gallus gallus (chicken)
Lineage: Eukaryota; Metazoa; Chordata; Aves; Galliformes; Phasianidae
Source: RNAcentral